CAUAAUUAUUAGUUUUUUAAUUGAAAGCUUGUAUGAAGGGUUGGACGAGAUAAAAUCUGUCUUUAUUUAAAUUACAAUAGAAUUUAACUUUUAAGUCAAAAGGCUUAAAUGUAUAUAAAAGACGAGAAGACCCUAUAGAUCUUUAUUUAAUUAAUAUUUUGAUAAUUUAAGAUUAUUUUAGUUUAAAGUUUUAAUUAAAUUUUAUUGGGGUAAUAUAGAGAUUAAAUAAAUUCUUUUUAUUUAUUACAUUGAUUUAUGAAUAUAUGAUCCAAUAUUAUUGAUUAUAAGAUUAAGUUACCUUAGGGAUAACAGCGUAAUUUUUUUGGAGAGCUCAUAUCGAUAAAAAAGUUUGCGACCUCGAUGUUGGAUUAAAAAUUAGCUUGGGUGCAGAAGCUCAAGAUUUUGGUCUGUUCGACCAUUAAAUUUUUACAUGAUCUGAGUUCAGACCGGCGUAAGCCAGGUCGGUUUCUAUCUUUAUUUAUCUAAAAUAUUUUAGUACGAAAGGACCAAAUAUUUAAUAUAAUUAUAUUUCUUUUUUGAAUAAUAUU
This 548-nucleotide ribosomal RNA is filed under the name Cicindela hybrida. Its description in RNAcentral is "partial 16S ribosomal RNA". The stretch from base 117 to 476 matches the Rfam family "Bacterial large subunit ribosomal RNA", at positions 2075 to 2645 of the family's 2925-position model. The record is from RNAcentral. Lineage: Eukaryota; Metazoa; Arthropoda; Insecta; Coleoptera; Carabidae.